Molecule: ribosomal RNA, 375 nt
Filed under: uncultured Alphaproteobacteria bacterium
Lineage: Bacteria; Pseudomonadati; Pseudomonadota; Alphaproteobacteria
Description: bacterial SSU rRNA
Rfam family: Bacterial small subunit ribosomal RNA
Source: RNAcentral
UAAUACGAAGGGACCUAGCGUAGUUCGGAAUUACUGGGCUUAAAGAGCUCGUAGGUGGUUAGAAAAGUUGGUGGUGAAAUCCCAAGGCUUAACCUUGGAACUGCCACCAAAACUUUUUGACUUAGAGUAUGAUAGAGGAAAGUGGAAUUUCUAGUGUAGAGGUGAAAUUCGUAGAUAUUAGAAAGAACACCAAUUGCGAAGGCAACUUCCUGGAUCAUUACUGACACUGAGGAGCGAAAGCAUGGGUAGCGAAGAGGAUUAGAUACCCUCGUAGUCCAUGCCGUAAACGAUGUGUGCUAGACGUUGGAAAUUUAAUUUUCAGUGUCGCAGCGAAAGCAUUAAGCACACCGCCUGGGGAGUACGACCGCAAGGUUA